GCAAGUCGAACGAGAACGAUACCUUCGGGUGUUUAGUAAAGUGGCGCACGGGUGAGUAACACGUGGGUAACCUACCCCUCGGCGGGGGAUAACCGUUCGAAAGGACGGCUAAUACCGCAUACGGUCGCGACCUCUUUGGGGGACGCGAGGAAAGUGGCGUAAGUCACACCGGGGGAUGGGCCCGCGCACCAUUAGCUAGUUGGUGGGGUAAUGGCCUACCAAGGCUUAGACGGUUAGCUGGUCUGAGAGGAUGACC
Molecule: ribosomal RNA, 256 nt
Filed under: uncultured bacterium
Lineage: Bacteria
Description: partial 16S ribosomal RNA
Rfam family: Bacterial small subunit ribosomal RNA
Source: RNAcentral